Molecule: long non-coding RNA, 1142 nt
Organism: Colius striatus (speckled mousebird)
Lineage: Eukaryota; Metazoa; Chordata; Aves; Coliiformes; Coliidae
Exons: 7
Source: RefSeq, a predicted model, not a curated record
AUUCAGCGCUUGGGAUCUGGGCUUACAGCUCUGUUCCCAGACAACUCCCUUUACUCUUAUUCCUCAUAAGCACUGAGGAAAAGUCAAACUGCGUUUCUUUGGUGAAACACACAUGGUUUCUUGAGUCACCCUGUGUAUACUGUGUGGUAGCACUGUACUGACAGCCAUUUAUCCUAGAGCAGGCAAGAUGCUCAGAAGUCUCUCCCGUGUCUUGUCUGGAUGCCCAGGGAUGGACAUGCUUCUCUCAGACUCCAGAGCCCUUGGGAUUCACCAAGACUUACAGAUGUUCACUGGGACACCGUCUCCAGCCAGCCUGUUAGGGGACAGAACACAACAAGGGUGGAGGUGAUGUGGUUGUCACUCAUCUGGAAGGAAUUCGAGAGACAGAGCAGAGAGCACAGGCUGCAGCGGGUGCAGGUCCCAGCCCGAGAAGCAGGAGAUCCCUUUAACACCAUGCUGUAAACCUGGGAGGAAAGUCGUGGCUCAGGCUGGUUUUGGCACCAUGCUGAUAUCAAGAGGAGCAGGGAACUCACAGCAUCUCUGUGCUGCAAGGAUGGGCACCUCCGAGAGACCUCCCGAGCAGGAGAUGCUUUAUACAGAGCAAGAGGUGGAUUAUUGGCCAGCCUUAGGGUCUUGCCCACCAAUUGACAGAUGCCAUGACUCUAAUACAGGAGACCUGAGGUGUCUCUGCAAAUCAGAAGAAGGUAACUAGAAGAUGACUUUUUGCAUCUGCUGUCUGCCUUCUGAGAGAAGAGAUGCUGGAGUGAUCUCUGCAAACACUUCCCAUGGAAACAGAAAAAAAGACUCACAGCCACUCAGGGCUGGUUUGACCUUAAUGGCAUCCUCAGCCUCAGCCUGCAGGAGAAAGAUGUGACAGCAGCCUGUGGCACCAGACUGAUGGGGGGCUGCAGGGAUGCCAGGGAUGGGUAAGGACUUGUCAGUGCAGCUCUCAACCAAGUUUCAUGGGGAGUUCCAUGUUGAGGGUGGCUUUGUUUUGGGUUUUUUUUGCAGAAGUGUGCAUGACACAUUGAUGCAGCUGAUGGCACAGUGCACACUGUGCACACUGCUGUAAAAAAUCACAACAAACUCAUGUUUGGCAUUCUGAAUCAUCAGGAAAAAACCAAAAAAGGAGAGAAACACAC